GGGGCAGUAAGGGUUUUGACGGGGAGUUGUGGUUGCGCAAGUUGCGAGCCGAGGGUGCUACAAGCCUCGUAAAACACGGUAGCCAACGUCACAAAUGCAGACGUAAAACAAGCUAUGCAAGGCGUCCAGUGGAUGGUUUCAAGAACUAGUUUCUUGGCCGCCAAUGACAACGCUUUUGCACUCGCCUCUUAAUUAAAUAAGUGGCGCGUCUUCCGGGUCCGCCGUUAGGUCCGGGUCAAGACGCCAUUAUGACGGAUGCGUAAUCUUUCUUUUCCGGUUGGGAGGUUACAAAGUAAAAGACAUCGGAUAGUCCGGGA
This 317-nucleotide transfer-messenger RNA is filed under the name Candidatus Margulisiibacteriota bacterium. RNAcentral's name for it is "partial transfer-messenger RNA". It matches the Rfam family "transfer-messenger RNA", at positions 1 to 266 of the family's 374-position model. Rfam says of the family: Bacterial tmRNA, also known as 10Sa RNA or SsrA, is named for its dual tRNA and mRNA-like properties. Its role is to liberate the mRNA from a stalled ribosome. To accomplish this part of the tmRNA is used as a reading frame that ends in a translation stop signal. Lineage: Bacteria; Bacillati; Candidatus Margulisiibacteriota. The record is from RNAcentral.